This 396-nucleotide unclassified non-coding RNA is filed under the name soil metagenome. Its description in RNAcentral is "partial contains 5.8S ribosomal RNA, internal transcribed spacer 2, and large subunit ribosomal RNA". The stretch from base 1 to 120 matches the Rfam family "5.8S ribosomal RNA", at positions 35 to 154 of the family's 154-position model. The record is from RNAcentral.
GAUGAAGAACGCAGCGAAAUGCGAUAAGUAGUGUGAAUUGCAGAAUUCAGUGAAUCAUCGAAUCUUUGAACGCACAUUGCGCCUCCUGGCAUUCCGGGAGGCAUGCCUGUUCGAGCGUCAUCAAACCCCAUCGUGCAAAUGAAUUAUUUUUUUUGCGCGGAAGUGACGAUUGAGCAAGAAUAACAAAUCCUCUCGCACCUCGUCGAAAUGAUUGCGGGCGGAAUUUGGGAUCGGGUUCCUCGGCGUAGUGUAUCAAUGCAUAUUUAUGCAACUUGCCGCGGAGUUGAGCCUGACCCACGCGUUCUCGCCGUACAAACACCUCAUUACUUUUCAAGUUUUUGACCUCGGAUCAGGUAGGGAUACCCGCUGAACUUAAGCAUAUCAAUAAGCGGAGGA